GGGUUGUGAGGUUAAGCGACUAAGCGUACACGGUGGAUGCCCUGGCAGUCAGAGGCGAUGAAGGGCGUGCUAAUCUGCGAUAAGCGCCGGUAAGGUGAUAUGAACCGUUAUAACCGGCGAUACCCGAAUGGGGAAACCCAGUGUGACUCGUCACACUAUCAUUAACUGAAUCCAUAGGUUAAUGAGGCGAACCGGGGGAACUGAAACAUCUAAGUACCCCGAGGAAAAGAAAUCAACCGAGAUUCCCCCAGUAGCGGCGAGCGAACGGGGAGGAGCCCAGAGCCUGAAUCAGCAUGUGUGUUAGUGGAAGCGUCUGGAAAGGCGCGCGAUACAGGGUGACAGCCCCGUACACAAAAGCGCAUGUGCUGUGAGCUCGAUGAGUAGGGCGGGACACGUGGUAUCCUGUCUGAAUAUGGGGGGACCAUCCUCCAAGGCUAAAUACUCCUGACUGACCGAUAGUGAACCAGUACCGUGAGGGAAAGGCGAAAAGAACCCCGGCGAGGGGAGUGAAAAAGAACCUGAAACCGUGUACGUACAAGCAGUGGGAGCACAGGUUUACCUGUGUGACUGCGUACCUUUUGUAUAAUGGGUCAGCGACUUAUAUUCUGUAGCAAGGUUAACCGAAUAGGGGAGCCGGAGGGAAACCGAGUCUUAAUUGGGCGUUAAGUUGCAGGGUAUAGACCCGAAACCCGGUGAUCUAGCCAUGGGCAGGUUGAAGGUUGGGUAACACUAACUGGAGGACCGAACCGACUAAUGUUGAAAAAUUAGCGGAUGACCUGUGGCUGGGGGUGAAAGGCCAAUCAAACCGGGAGAUAGCUGGUUCUCCCCGAAAGCUAUUUAGGUAGCGCCUCGUGAAUUCAUCUCCGGGGGUAGAGCACUGUUUCGGCUAGGGGGCCAUCCCGGCUUACCAACCCGAUGCAAACUGCGAAUACCGGAGAAUGUUAUCACGGGAGACACACGGCGGGUGCUAACGUCCGUCGUGAAGAGGGAAACAACCCAGACCGCCAGCUAAGGUCCCAAAGUCAUGGUUAAGUGGGAAACGAUGUGGGAAGGCCCAGACAGCCAGGAUGUUGGCUUAGAAGCAGCCAUCAUUUAAAGAAAGCGUAAUAGCUCACUGGUCGAGUCGGCCUGCGCGGAAGAUGUAACGGGGCUAAACCAUGCACCGAAGCUGCGGCAGCGACGCUUAUGCGUUGUUGGGUAGGGGAGCGUUCUGUAAGCCUGCGAAGGUGGCCUGUGAGGGUUGCUGGAGGUAUCAGAAGUGCGAAUGCUGACAUAAGUAACGAUAAAGCGGGUGAAAAGCCCGCUCGCCGGAAGACCAAGGGUUCCUGUCCAACGUUAAUCGGGGCAGGGUGAGUCGACCCCUAAGGCGAGGCCGAAAGGCGUAGUCGAUGGGAAACGGGUUAAUAUUCCCGUACUUGGUGUUACUGCGAAGGGGGGACGGAGAAGGCUAUGUUGGCCGGGCGACGGUUGUCCCGGUUUAAGCGUGUAGGUGUGUGUUCCAGGUAAAUCCGGUUCACUUUAACACUGAGGCGUGAUGACGAGGCACUACGGUGCUGAAGUAACAAAUGCCCUGCUUCCAGGAAAAGCCUCUAAGCAUCAGGUAACAUCAAAUCGUACCCCAAACCGACACAGGUGGUCAGGUAGAGAAUACCAAGGCGCUUGAGAGAACUCGGGUGAAGGAACUAGGCAAAAUGGUGCCGUAACUUCGGGAGAAGGCACGCUGACACGUAGGUGAAGUGAUUUACUCACGGAGCUGAAGUCAGUCGAAGAUACCAGCUGGCUGCAACUGUUUAUUAAAAACACAGCACUGUGCAAACACGAAAGUGGACGUAUACGGUGUGACGCCUGCCCGGUGCCGGAAGGUUAAUUGAUGGGGUCAGCGCAAGCGAAGCUCCUGAUCGAAGCCCCGGUAAACGGCGGCCGUAACUAUAACGGUCCUAAGGUAGCGAAAUUCCUUGUCGGGUAAGUUCCGACCUGCACGAAUGGCGUAAUGAUGGCCAGGCUGUCUCCACCCGAGACUCAGUGAAAUUGAACUCGCUGUGAAGAUGCAGUGUACCCGCGGCAAGACGGAAAGACCCCGUGAACCUUUACUAUAGCUUGACACUGAACAUUGAGCCUUGAUGUGUAGGAUAGGUGGGAGGCUUUGAAGUGUGGACGCCAGUCUGCAUGGAGCCGACCUUGAAAUACCACCCUUUAAUGUUUGAUGUUCUAACGUGGACCCGUUACCCGGGUUGCGGACAGUGUCUGGUGGGUAGUUUGACUGGGGCGGUCUCCUCCUAAAGAGUAACGGAGGAGCACGAAGGUUGGCUAAUCCUGGUCGGACAUCAGGAGGUUAGUGCAAUGGCAUAAGCCAGCUUGACUGCGAGCGUGACGGCGCGAGCAGGUGCGAAAGCAGGUCAUAGUGAUCCGGUGGUUCUGAAUGGAAGGGCCAUCGCUCAACGGAUAAAAGGUACUCCGGGGAUAACAGGCUGAUACCGCCCAAGAGUUCAUAUCGACGGCGGUGUUUGGCACCUCGAUGUCGGCUCAUCACAUCCUGGGGCUGAAGUAGGUCCCAAGGGUAUGGCUGUUCGCCAUUUAAAGUGGUACGCGAGCUGGGUUUAGAACGUCGUGAGACAGUUCGGUCCCUAUCUGCCGUGGGCGCUGGAGAACUGAGGGGGGCUGCUCCUAGUACGAGAGGACCGGAGUGGACGCAUCACUGGUGUUCGGGUUGUCAUGCCAAUGGCACUGCCCGGUAGCUAAAUGCGGAAGAGAUAAGUGCUGAAAGCAUCUAAGCACGAAACUUGCCCCGAGAUGAGUUCUCCCUGAGACUUAAAGUCUCCUGAAGGAACGUUGAAGACGACGACGUUGAUAGGCCGGGUGUGUAAGCGCAGCGAUGCGUUGAGCUAACCGGUACUAAUGAACCGUGAGGCUUAACCCUACAACGCCGAAG
RNAcentral lists this ribosomal RNA (2929 nucleotides) under Salmonella enterica subsp. enterica serovar Dublin. Its description in RNAcentral is "bacterial LSU rRNA". It matches the Rfam family "Bacterial large subunit ribosomal RNA". Lineage: Bacteria; Pseudomonadati; Pseudomonadota; Gammaproteobacteria; Enterobacterales; Enterobacteriaceae. RNAcentral also lists the same sequence under 1 other name. The record is from RNAcentral.